AAUAGAUACCCGGGUAGUCCACGCCGUAAACGAUGAGUGCUAAGUGUUAGAGGGUUUCCGCCCUUUAGUGCUGCAGCUAACGCAUUAAGCACUCCGCCUGGGGAGUACGGCCGCAAGGCUGAAACUCAAAGGAAUUGACGGGGGCCCGCACAAGCGGUGGAGCAUGUGGUUUAAUUCGAAGCAACGCGAAGAACCUUACCAGGUCUUAACAUCCUCUGCCAACCCUAGAGAUAGGGCGUUCCCCUUCGGGGGACAGAGUGACAGGUGGUGCAUGGUUGUCGUCAGCUCGUGUCGUGAGAUGUUGGGUUAAGUCCCGCAACGAGCGCAACCCUUGAUCUUAGUUGCCAGCAUUCAGUUGGGCACUCUAAGGUGACUGCCGGUGACAAACCGGAGGAAGGUGGGGAUGACGUCAAAUCAUCAUGCCCCUUAUGACCUGGGCUACACACGUGCUACAAUGGAUGGUACAAAGAGCUGCGAACCCGCGAGGGUAAGCGAAUCUCAUAAAGCCAUUCUCAGUUCGGA
This 522-nucleotide ribosomal RNA is filed under the name uncultured bacterium. RNAcentral describes it as "bacterial SSU rRNA". It matches the Rfam family "Bacterial small subunit ribosomal RNA", at positions 777 to 1297 of the family's 1533-position model. The record is from RNAcentral.